This 250-nucleotide ribosomal RNA is filed under the name uncultured bacterium. RNAcentral describes it as "partial 16S ribosomal RNA". It matches the Rfam family "Bacterial small subunit ribosomal RNA", at positions 525 to 774 of the family's 1533-position model. The record is from RNAcentral.
ACAGAGGUUGCGAGCGUUGUUCGGAAUUAUUGGGCGUAAAGCGCGUGUAGGCGGGAUGGCAAGUCGGGUGUGAAAGCCCUCAGCUCAACUGAGGAAGUGCGCCCGAAACUACUGUUCUUGAGUGCCGGAGAGGGUGGCGGAAUUCCCGGUGUAGAGGUGAAAUUCGUAGAUAUUGGGAGGAAUACCGGUGGCGAAGGCGGCAUCCUGGACCGACAUUGACACUGAACGGCGAAAGCUAGGGGAGCAAACG